AAUGAACGCUGGCGGCGCGCCUAAUACAUGCAAGUCGAGCGAGAAGACGUAGCAAUACGUUUGUAAAGCGGCGAACGGGUGAGGAAUACAUGGGUAACCUACCCUCGAGUGGGGAAUAACUAGCCGAAAGGUUAGCUAAUACCGCGUACGCUCCUUGGACUUCGGUUCAGGGAGGAAAGCGAUACCGUGGGUAUCGCGCUCUUGGUUGGGCUCAUGUCCUAUCAGCUUGUUGGUGAGGAACGGCUCACCAAGGCUUCGACGGGUAGCUGGUCUGAGAGGACGAUCAGCCACACUGGCACUGCGACACGGGCCAGACUCCUACGGGAGGCAGCAGUAAGGAAUAUUGCGCAAUGGGCGAAAGCCUGACGCAGCGACGCCGCGUGGGGGAGUGAAGGGUCUUCGG
RNAcentral lists this ribosomal RNA (403 nucleotides) under uncultured bacterium. RNAcentral's name for it is "bacterial SSU rRNA". It matches the Rfam family "Bacterial small subunit ribosomal RNA", at positions 29 to 421 of the family's 1533-position model. The record is from RNAcentral.